GAUGAAGAACGUAGCGAAAUGCGAUAAGUAAUGUGAAUUGCAGAAUUCAGUGAAUCAUCGAAUCUUUGAACGCACAUUGCGCCCCUUGGUAUUCCGAGGGGCAUGCUUGUUCGAGCGUCAUUAUAACCCCUCAAGCUCAGCUUGGUGUUGGGGCCUGCUGCACUGGCAGCCCUUAAAAUCAGUGGCGGCGCCAUCUGGCUCUAAGCGUAGUAAUUCUUCUCGCUAUGGAGUCCUGGUGGAUGCUUGCCAUCAACCCCCAAUUUUUCUAUGGUUGACCUCGGAUCAGGUAGGGAUACCCGCUGAACUUAAGCAUAUCAAUAAGCGGAGGA
This 329-nucleotide unclassified non-coding RNA is filed under the name soil metagenome. Its description in RNAcentral is "partial contains 5.8S ribosomal RNA, internal transcribed spacer 2, and large subunit ribosomal RNA". The stretch from base 1 to 120 matches the Rfam family "5.8S ribosomal RNA", at positions 35 to 154 of the family's 154-position model. The record is from RNAcentral.